GAUGAACGCUGGCGGCGUGCCUAAUACAUGCCAGUCGAGCGAACAGACGAGGAGCUUGCUCCUCUGACGUUAGCGGCGGACGGGUGAGUAACACGUGGAUAACCUACCUAUAAGACUGGGAUAACUUCGGGAAACCGGAGCUAAUACCGGAUAAUAUAUUGAACCGCAUGGUUCAAUAGUGAAAGACGGUUUUGCUGUCACUUAUAGAUGGAUCCGCGCCGCAUUAGCUAGUUGGUAAGGUAACGGCUUACCAAGGCGACGAUGCGUAGCCGACCUGAGAGGGUGAUCGGCCACACUGGAACUGAGACACGGUCCAGACUCCUACGGGAGGCAGCAGUAGGGAAUCUUCCGCAAUGGGCGAAAGCCUGACGGAGCAGCGCCGCGUGAGUGAUGAAGGUCUUCGGAUCGUAAAACUCUGUUAUUAGGGAAGAACAAAUGUGUAAGUAACUAUGCACGUCUUGACGGUACCUAAUCAGAAAGCCACGGCUAACUACGUG
This 497-nucleotide ribosomal RNA is filed under the name uncultured bacterium. Its description in RNAcentral is "partial 16S ribosomal RNA". It matches the Rfam family "Bacterial small subunit ribosomal RNA", at positions 28 to 507 of the family's 1533-position model. The record is from RNAcentral.